RNAcentral lists this ribosomal RNA (258 nucleotides) under uncultured Leptolinea sp. RNAcentral describes it as "partial 16S ribosomal RNA". It matches the Rfam family "Bacterial small subunit ribosomal RNA", at positions 1111 to 1382 of the family's 1533-position model. The record is from RNAcentral. Lineage: Bacteria; Bacillati; Chloroflexota; Anaerolineae; Anaerolineales; Anaerolineaceae.
UGUGUUAUACGUGUCACACGAUACUGCCGGUAUCAAGCCGGAGGAAGGUGGGGAGUGAUGUCAAGUCAGCAUGGCCUUUAUAUCCUGGGCUACACACACGCUACAAUGGCAGAUACAAUAGGUCGCGAAACCGCGAGGUGGAGCCAAUCCUCAAAGUCUGUCUCAGUUCAGAUUGUAGGCUGCAACUCGCCUGCAUGAAGUCGGAGUUGCUAGUAAACGCAGGUCAGCUAUACUGCGUUGAAUACGUUCCCGGGGUUU